RNAcentral lists this small RNA (330 nucleotides) under Microtus ochrogaster (prairie vole). RNAcentral's name for it is "7SK RNA (ENSMOCG00000003498.1)". The stretch from base 1 to 190 matches the Rfam family "7SK RNA". Rfam says of the family: 7SK was discovered as an abundant small nuclear RNA in the mid-70s but a possible function has only recently been suggested. The record is from RNAcentral. Lineage: Eukaryota; Metazoa; Chordata; Mammalia; Rodentia; Cricetidae.
GAUUGUGCAUGUGAUCUGACAGUGACAUCUUCCACUCAGUUGAUCGCUGUGGUUGAUGGUCCCAUCUGACUGGCUAGACGGGCGCCCCCAUCCUCCUUCACCUCUCCAUGUACAUCCUUCUCCAAGUGACAUGCUCAAUCAAAGAGGGUGGCUUUCCCUGACAGAGGAGGACCUGUCUUCUGUCAGGGUCGAGGAUGUGUAAGUAAGAGCAUGCUUCUGGUGGAACCCCAAGCAGGUUCUCAAGGAACUAGACCUUCCGACCAUAGCCUUGUAGCCCCAGUGAAAGCUCCCUACCUUCAGAGGCAGUGUCAACAGAGUCCUUUCUGUGUU